UACACUCCUGCGGGAGGCAGCAGUGGGGAAUAUUGGACAAUGGGCGCAAGCCUGAUCCAGCCAUGCCGCGUGAGUGAUGAAGGCCCUAGGGUUGUAAAGCUCUUUCACCGGUGAAGAUAAUGACGGUAACCGGAGAAGAAGCCCCGGCUAACUUCGUGCCAGCAGCCGCGGUAAUACGAAGGGGGCUAGCGUUGUUCGGAUUUACUGGGCGUAAAGCGCACGUAGGCGGACUAUUAAGUCAGGGGUGAAAUCCCGGGGCUCAACCCCGGAACUGCCUUUGAUACUGGUAGUCUUGAGUUCGAGAGAGGUGAGUGGAAUUCCGAGUGUAGAGGUGAAAUUCGUAGAUAUUCGGAGGAACACCAGUGGCGAAGGCGGCUCACUGGCUCGAUACUGACGCUGAGGUGCGAAAGCGUGGGGAGCAAACAGGAUUAGAAACCCCUGUAGUCCCAU
Molecule: ribosomal RNA, 450 nt
Filed under: uncultured organism
Description: partial 16S ribosomal RNA
Rfam family: Bacterial small subunit ribosomal RNA
Source: RNAcentral